Molecule: ribosomal RNA, 500 nt
Filed under: uncultured bacterium
Lineage: Bacteria
Description: partial 16S ribosomal RNA
Rfam family: Bacterial small subunit ribosomal RNA
Source: RNAcentral
AUUGAACGCUGGCGGCAUGCCUUACACAUGCAAGUCGAACGGCAGCACGGGAGCAAUCCUGGUGGCGAGUGGCGAACGGGUGAGUAAUACAUCGGAACGUGCCCAGUAGUGGGGGAUAGCCCGGCGAAAGCCGGAUUAAUACCGCAUACGACCUACGGGUGAAAGCGGGGGAUCGCAAGACUUCGCGCUAUUGGAGCGGCCGAUGGCAGAUUAGCUUGUUGGUGGGGUAAAAGCCUACCAAGGCGACGAUCUGUAGCUGGUCUGAGAGGACGACCAGCAACACUGGGACUGAGACACGGCCCAGACUCCUACGGGAGGCAGCAGUGGGGAAUUUUGGACAAUGGGCGCAAGCCUGAUCCAGCCAUGCCGCGUGCGGGAAGAAGGCCUUCGGGUUGUAAACCGCUUUUGUCAGGGAAGAAACGGUCUAAUCUAAUAAAUUGGACUAAUGACGGUACCUGAAGAAUAAGCACCGGCUAACUACGUGCCAGCCGCCGCCGUAA